UGAGACGGGCUGCCUUCCUUACGGUGGCGUUGAUGGCGCAGCUGUGGGGCGCUGUGGGAGUCGUAGGGUUAGGUUUUGACUGCCCGCCCAGCUCACUCUGGACUGAGCGACCUGUUUCGGCUUCAUCCAGGACAGGGAAGGGAGCAGCACAUCCUUGGAAGCCUCUCGGGACCUCUGGACUCUGGAUCAGAGAACCUCAAACUCAACCCUUCCGGAUCUUUUUUCCGAGGAACAUUGAUGCGUUGGGAUUUCCAAGCCUCUGGGCCUGUCUUUUCUCCGUUUGCUCUCCAGGGUUGCUGCUCCACUGAGCUCCACACAGGCCCAUUCAUCUGCCAGGUAUGCUCUCUGCCCCUUUUGGCUCCUCUAAGAUACAUCUGACCUGCCCUGGCUCCCUCCUCUUCCUUCCGGAACGUGGCUGGCUGCGGGUCAAGGGUUGGAAUCAGGCUGUUCUCUCCCGCUCUGCGAGAGGAGCCUUUCAGAAGGCAGCAGCACAGAUUCAGGGAUCCCCCCGCUCCCACCUUAGUGGUCUGAGUCAACGGGGUUGGCUGCCAGCAGAACCAAGGAAACCAUCUUCUAUGAGGUUUGUGAUCCCAGUCCAGUGACACCUGCUGGAAAGUCACACACUGGACAUCAACCUCCAGCUUACGGAUUGCUCUGCGCUCUUUCAAUAUGCAGAAAUGCAGAAAGUCAACCAUAUAGGAUGCUCUCAUCACACCUCGGAACAAACAAGGAGAAACAAAGCCACUCCACAGUCAUCCUUGUCAACAGCUAAUGCGCUCCCCAAUCUUGUUUAACUAUUAGAACAAGUUUGCUUAUCCACACUCUAUUAAUUCCAUGAACUGGGAGGCCAAGCCCAUUAAAGAAAAAUUUGCCUCAGAAUAAUUUCCUCAGUUAUUACAGAUGGAAGCCGGCCCCACCUCCAGCCUCUUCAGUUUAACACACCAGAGAGAGAGAGACUGAAAACCCGUCCACCCAAAACUGAUCCGCAUUUAGGAUGUCACAGCACGUGUCUCUGAAAGACGCUGUGAAGACCAAGUGUGCUAUUCAGUGGCACUUACUACAUUCACUGUGUGUGACCGUCACCCUGCCCAGUGCAGGACGUCUGCACCCCCGAGGAAACCCUGCCACCUCGACAGUCGCUGCACUCCCCCGGGGUGGCCCCCACAGCCCCUGGUGACCGCGAAUCUGUUUCCUGUCUGCGGAUUUGCCUGCUCUGGACGUUUCAGGACUUGAAAUCACACCAGAGCCGAGGACACGGGUUCUGUGUAAGGUCUUGCCCGCAUUGCACUAGAAUAUUUGUCGACUGAAAGUGCAUCAAACGAUAGGAGGGUUAUCUUUCCUUAUGACAAAAGCCAAAGGCAAGGUGGUUCCAGAAAAAUUCAGCAUUUCAUUGAUAGCUUCAAGAAUAUGGGUUUCUUUUAAUUUUCUGCUCUGCCACCCCCAGCUGAACCUUCUCCCCGAUCAACAGUUGUAAGACGGCAGCCCUGCAACUUCAAGUCACAUCCUCACAAAGCUUGUCCGGGGCAGAAAAGGAUUGUCCUCCCUAUUGCAUCAAUUCUCAUGAGGACAGAAAAAGUUUCUUGGAAGCAUCCCAGCAAAUUCCUCCUCAUGUCUCACUCACUACAGUCAUAUCACAGCCCUAACCGUGUGCGGGGUCAGCCCCUACCUAUGCACGGUGCGAGCAGGGGAGUGGAUCUUCCAGGUCAACAUUCAAGCCUGGGAUCCAGGAGCACCCACCAAUCCCAGUACCAAAAAACACAGCAACAUAGUGGGGUUUGCUAGUAAGGAAGCCUGGGGAAUGACAAGCUGCCACUAAGAUGUUUGUGCCGGUUCUAAAAUCAAUUGCUUUUCCACCCUGCCUUUCGAAAUGGUUCCUUAAGGUUGGACAGACUGUGACGUAAAACCUGAGUAACUUGGCUGACCAGACAUGAUUAAAAGGGAUGGUUAAGACUGAGCUCUCAAAACUCGCGUGUCACUCAGCCUGAUGCUGGUCAACAGGAAGUAAAGGAAGUGUAGCUCUGAGGACAUCCGAGUUGGCAGAAAGAGCAGAAUUGCUGCACCGUAGGAGAGUAGGUGAGGAAGACAUCAUGUCAAGGGAAUAUUUUGAAAAUAUCCUCUCCUUUACCCUGAAGCUUCACAUUUACUGGGUAAUUUACUCAUAAAUCAGGAGUGACUCUGACAGUUUCUAAAUUGGAUUAAUUUCUCUCCCCCACUGAAGUGACUACUUUUUUCAGGAACUAGACUAGAGCCACCAGCUGGUGUCAGGUAGAUGGAGCCUUAAUUGAACCAAGGAAUCCAGCGGCUCAUCAGUUACGGAUUUGGCUAAUGAGGGGGAGAGCGAAGAUCACUCUCAGUUCAAAGAAGGAAACAAAGCCUAGCCCAGAGUGGGAGCUGUCCACCUUCUGUGGGAAGAGGACAACCGGAAACUUGAGGAGUCCAUUAGCUCCGAGCAUAAAGUGGCGUAAAUCCUACUAGUGCUGAGAAGCCUUGGAAGUAAACAUCCUCCUGAGAGCUGCCUCACGGCUUGGGAAGGGUUUGCCCAGUUGGUUUUUGUUCUUAGGGAGAGGGAUUUGUAGAAAGUGGAAAAAAUUUGGUGGUCAUCAUCAUUGCUUGGCCAGCUCUCUUUGCAUAACUGCAAGUUCAGGACGAAAGAAGAGUGUGUUUACAAUUAUUUCUCUCCUACUAAAAACCCAAGGCUUCAUUCUGAAGCUGGAGGAUGGGUUGUUAAUGUUACAACUUAUGGGGUGCUUAUCCACAAACAUCAGCUUGCAGAUGGUUUGGGAAAAGGCCUCAUUCUUAUCAGAGACAUUUCCCUGGCUGCCUUCUCUUGGUCUUGGAUGUUAGUGUUAGCACAGCACCACUGUCACCCGCUUAAAUGAGAAUAACAAAACUUGGGCAGACUGACCUUUGGAAACUGAGCUUCUCUCACCUGUCUAUCGUGUCUCUUUAUCACUAGGUUCUAAACCUCACCUGUUUCCCAGAAUAGAUGAGAAUUAAACAAGAAGAUCAGGAACUCCUUAAGAGCCACAGAGGCUCCAGGGAGGGAGGCAGAUUUUUCUUUUAAGCCUAAAAGAGAGAAGUAGAGAAAGCCCACUACCCUGUGACCAGCUGAACACAAAGAGAGCAGCAGUUUGCUUGCUGGAAGAACUGUAGGUGCACUGUCUGCAAUUUGUUUCUUUGAAAUAAUGAUCAAAAACUGUUCGAUGAUUCCAGUUUUACUGCUGUGCUGAGAAUGAUUUUUGAACUGGGCACUCAAAGCUGUUCACACAGAAGAAAAUCAGUCUUGUUGCUUUAUGCUUGCAUUGCAUUUGAGGAGUCAAAUAGAAGCCUCUAGCUAGUACAUGCAUUUUAUUCACUUCUUUUUGUUCUGAAUGACAUUUUUUCCCAACAGAUACUUCAAAGGGCCAAUAUUGGACCCAUAAACAGCCUCUGAUUGGCGUAGUCCUGGAGCACUCUUUGUGAAUGAGAGUCCUGUGAACCAAAGGUGCUGUGCUCCGGGGAGCAACAGAUUGUGAAUAUAUGGCUUUUUAUAUUUGUUUAGCAAAAAUUAACAUCGGUGCUAUGUUAUGAAGUCAUUUAGUUACAGUAAAAGGCUAAUUGCUAUUAAAAGCUCUUUCACUGCUACUCACAUUCAAGCAAAGCAAACCAAAGUCAAGUAUUGACACAUUGAUAAUAUUGCCAUAAUCCUUCUGAUGUUAGCAUUUUUCUCAGCUUGUCUGUGAGCAUCUUGACGUUAACAGGAUACUCACGAAUGCUGGUGACGGAGCACAGUGGUAGCUGAACCAAGGCAAAACACACAAAAUGUCUGCUGGUUUCAAGCAUGUUGGUGGUGCAUGCUUUGGGGAUGAGAGCUGUGGGGCUGGGAUUUGAGUACUGACCGUGCCACACCAGGUAGGUAAACGUGGUCGAGUCACUCUGUCUCUCGGCGUCGGUGUCCUCACCUGGAGAUGGAAGCCCCAGCAGCCUCUGUCCUUGACCGCUAGUCUCCGGCACAGGUCCCGGCACGUGGGAGAGUGGACGUUCCAAGUCUCCACAUGACAUCACUUUCUGAGUGGAGCAACCUUGGGACUUGUUUGUUUGCCUCACUUGCCUAUUCUGUAGAAGCUGAAUUGGAAACUCAGAAGCUAAAACAUCUGAAAAGGGAUUUUUAGGCCUUGCUCAGUAAUCUCUCUUCCUCCUACAAGUUCCCUCUCUCCCAGCACAAGCAGCCCCGUUUGCAUGUGCUGCACUUUGGGUGGUGCUAACCCUAACCCUAACUCUAACUCACUCGCUCCUGGUGACUGGCUAGCCAGAUGCUACAGAAGCCAGGUGACACUGACCACCACAAAGUCUGUGUGCGCUCACUUCACCAUGGGGCCCGCAUGGAGUGUGUCACACAAGAAAAGAGCCCUGUGACCCGCCGAGGCCAGCAUGGCCCCUCACCUUGCUUUCCCCCUGCCCUCUGUGCUGCUAAAGUGGCUGCCCCAAUCACAGCUCCACUCACAGGCUCAGCCUCUGCUGGGCCUAACUCUGGAGAGAUGGAGGAGUUUAUUCUGAGGCCUCAGCACCGAGCUGGUGGCUCCCGUCUGUCCACGGUGUGUGUCGGAAGCAGGACUCUGCACGGUCCCAGCGAGCCGAGCUGGAUCUGAGGGGCAGUGGGAGCAGAGGGGAGGCCCCCGGCCUCACUGGGUGGCAGGAGGGAAGCAGGGAGCCCUGGCUGUGCUCCCUGAAGCUCCUCAGGGAAGGUUGACUUGGGCCCAGAAACACCUUGACCUCCAUUUUCCACACCUGUUGCCUACACUUUGAUCUCCCAAGGAUCCCACAGAUGACAGAAUUCCCAGCAAGGGGCCACGGUGCUGGAGAGAAUGAGAAGGGCCAGUGCGGCCCCUGCUGAAUGGAGCAGGGAAAACACACAGUUUUUAGCUCAAGUCAAACGUGGAUUUUAACCUGCGUGGGCCACAAGGGCCCUUGAGAGAUCUGAGAAUGGAGGUUUUGCCCAAAGCCUGCCCAUCCAGUGGGUCUCACUGGGGUGUCUGUGGGAGUGUGUGUGCACACACAUGCAGCCUGCUGCUGUGAGUGUGCAUGGAGGUUGGUGGUAGAACGUCCACCCUGGCUGACGCCCAGACUUCCCGUCUCUCCUUCCCUCCCCCAGGCCCCUCUCUCGUCCUCUCCUCCCUCGUCUCCUCCAGAUCCUGCUCGCUGCUCUGCUGAUGGUGGGUGCUUGGUAAGGAGGGCGGGGGGAAGGAGAGCUUCCCAGGGGUCUGCCCUCAGGAAACCAACGCUAACUGCAAAAUUAGGCACCUUUGCACACGUGUCCAAGUAACCAACCCAGGGAAGCCCUUUAUCCUGUUGUGCUAGGAGAGCGUCUGUACCACUACCAGCAGUACUGUUACUCCUGUCAGCACUGAUGCUACCACCACCGCUGUUACUCCCGUCAGCACCAACCUUACCACUAUAGCUAUUACUCCCAUCAGCACCAACGUUACCACCACCGCUGUUACUGCCGCCAACAUUGACAUUACCCCCAUAGCUAUUACUCCCAUCAGCACUGAUGUUACCACCACCGCUGUUACUCCCGUCAGCACUGACAAUACUUCCAUAGCUAUUACUCCCAUCAGCCUGAUGUUACCACCACCGCUGUUACUCCCGUCAGCACCAACCUUACCAUCACCGCUGUUACUCCCAUCAACACUGACAUUACCCCCAUAGCUAUUACUCCCAUCAGCACUGAUGUUACCACCACCGCUGUUACUCCCGUCAGCACUGACAAUACUCCCAUAGCUAUUACUCCCAUCAGCACCAACGUUACCACCACCGCUGUUACUGCCGCCAACAUUGACAUUACCCCCAUAGCUAUUACUCCCUUCAGCACUGACGUUACCACCACUGCUGUUACUCCCGUCAGCACUGACAAUACUUCCAUAGCUAUUACUCCCAUCAGCCUGAUGUUACCACCACUGCUGUUACUCCCGUCAGCACCGACCUUACCAUCACCGCUGUUACUGCUAUCUGCACUGUCAUUACCACCACUGGUACUAUUCCUGUCAGUAUUACUACUGUUACUAGCACUAUUGCUACGGUUAUUGCCAUUACCUCUUCUCUUACCCAUGUUCCUACUCUUUGCAUUACUACUGCCACCGUCCCUACAAUUGCUGCUGUCACUACUGCUGUUACUACCUUGUUACUACUUCUGUUAUUACUGCUGCUGUUAAUCUGUUACUGACUUCCAACCGAGCCCUUUAAUUUGCUUGUGUAAUGUGCUCCGGUCACUGUGCUAAGUGCAGGAUCUCAUUAAAUCCACCUCUGUAAAGUCGAUUGUGUUAUUGCCCCUGCUAUUCUCACAAGGAUGUUGGUGUUUGGAGAACUUAAGGAACUGACCUUAGUCACACACUGAUUAUUGGCCGAGCUGGGACUGAAAAAUUGAGUCUGAAAACUUUGAGGCUCUCACUGCCUUGAGGACAGAGAAGCUGGAGAGGGCUGGAAAGCUUUCUGCAGAUGCGAAGCAGGUAAUUGCUUUGCGGUGCUUAGCUUAAGGACGGUUACUUCCUCUUGAUUGAAAGUCUUCUCUGCCUCCUCACUGUCCUGCAGUGACAUCCAGAGCCUUAACUCCCGCUUACUUCUGCAGCCUCACCUCCUGCCCCAAAGUGUGGAUGGUGGUUUCAGAGAAGCCCUCUUGCUGGAGAGAAGUGCUGCGCUGUCUGCUUUGCAGGGUUCUGGUGAUUUUCAGCUCUGCCUUCAAAUCGUGAGCUCCUAGAAAGCAGAGAGCUCGCGUUGAGUCAGUGGGCUCAGCAGUCCCUACCCCGGAGGCUCCAGCCCCCGAGUCGCCCGCACCUCGGAGGAGAGCCUCAUCCGGGCUGGAAUGACACGGAGGCUGCCAUGAGGAAGGAAAGUCCAAGUCGAGAAUGUAGGAUGCAGUCGUGCGGGCAGGAGGACAGCAGGUGCCGGUGUGCUGGGCUCCGAGGGGGCUUGGCUGGUGCAGAAACUGAAGGGGGUUUGGGUGGACGAAUGACCAGGUGAAGCUGUGUGGGGAGAGAAGCGGCGGGAAGGAAGCAGGGCACGGAAGCUGCAAUUUGGAAAGGAACCGUGUUCUCCAUUUCUCUCGCAUCUUCCCACACGCUAUCUAACACCUUUCUCUGAAUACACAAAGACCCAUGUGCUUAUUGUAGCUAGAUUUCCAAAGGAAGACUG
Choloepus didactylus (southern two-toed sloth) is the source of this 7167-nucleotide long non-coding RNA. RefSeq lists it as uncharacterized. The transcript is spliced from 4 exons. The record is from RefSeq and is a predicted model, not a curated record. Lineage: Eukaryota; Metazoa; Chordata; Mammalia; Pilosa; Megalonychidae.